UUCUGAGAGUGUUUAGCAGAGGCCCAAACUUCAUAGGGUUUCUUCCCUUUGCUUUAGGAGUUGCAGAGCACUGCAGCCGUCAACAUCGGUUCGUCGGUUCAAACUACACCGCCUCCGAGACACCUUCAUGUAACAGCGGAAGAGCACGACUUAUGCAAUUCAUGUGAGGAUGUUUGUCACAGAUAUAGAAAGAAACGUUGGGGUAUUACAAAUCCAGUUUUGAUUGACUAAGUGGGGUGCUGAUACAGGCUCAUGCAAUCUUCAAUCUUCUUGAAGUAUGUGGACAAGUCUGUGAUUGAUACGACAUAUUGAACAUGUGCAUGAAUUAGAUCACUAUCUAAAUCUGAGAGUGGAGGUGACAAACGCGGCGAAUCAUUGGAAAUAAUGCGAGAGGGAAGUAAGAAAGCAACACUGCAGCUGGGGGACAUAUUACAAUACUGUUGAUUUCUUCAUGAAUCUUCUCCAGCUCUGAGAAUGUCUGGUGUUACCGGAACCGAAAAGAUCUUUAAUUAGGUUGUGUGAUUUUAAGAGAUCAUCUACCUUGGAAGACAUCAUACCGUGUUGUUCUAUUAAAACAUCACAAAGUUUUAUCUGCCGACUCUUUGAGGAAUUCAAGUAACAAAAAACAUGGGUGAUUUUUCAAAAUGAUGAAAGCUUUGAGAGCUAUUGCUUUCUAAACGAAA
Long non-coding RNA from Brassica napus (rape), 683 nucleotides. RefSeq lists it as uncharacterized. Lineage: Eukaryota; Viridiplantae; Streptophyta; Magnoliopsida; Brassicales; Brassicaceae. The transcript has 4 exons. The record is from RefSeq and is a predicted model, not a curated record.